RNAcentral lists this ribosomal RNA (253 nucleotides) under uncultured bacterium. Its description in RNAcentral is "partial 16S ribosomal RNA". It matches the Rfam family "Bacterial small subunit ribosomal RNA", at positions 524 to 776 of the family's 1533-position model. The record is from RNAcentral.
UACGUAGGAGACGAGCGUUGUCCGGAGUUACUGGGCGUAAAGGGUGCGCAGGUGGCGGCGCGCGUGGGGGGUGAAAUCGCCCGGCUUAACUGGGCGGGGGCCUUCCAGACGGCGUGGCUUGAGCAGCGGAGGGGGACGUGGAAUUCCGGGUGGAGCGGUGAAAUGCAUUGAGAUCGGAAAGAACACCAACGGCGAAAGCACUCUGCUGGGCCGACACUUACACUGAGAGACGAAAGCUAGGGGAGCAAAUGGG